GAAUUGAAGAGUUUGAUCAUGGCUCAGAUUGAACGCUGGCGGCAGGCUUAACACAUGCAAGUCGAACGGUAGCAGGAAGAAGCUUGCUUCUUUGCUGACG
RNAcentral lists this ribosomal RNA (100 nucleotides) under Glaesserella parasuis. RNAcentral's name for it is "partial 16S ribosomal RNA". It matches the Rfam family "Bacterial small subunit ribosomal RNA", at positions 1 to 100 of the family's 1533-position model. Lineage: Bacteria; Pseudomonadati; Pseudomonadota; Gammaproteobacteria; Pasteurellales; Pasteurellaceae. The record is from RNAcentral.